Molecule: long non-coding RNA, 350 nt
Filed under: Musa acuminata (dwarf banana)
Lineage: Eukaryota; Viridiplantae; Streptophyta; Magnoliopsida; Zingiberales; Musaceae
Description: long non-coding RNA (MACU_LNC001897)
Source: RNAcentral
GCUGUUGCUCCGGAAGCAGCAGCUCACUUGCCGGGGACGAAGUUGGUGGCGUAGGCCCAAGCGUUGUUGUUGACGGGGUCGGCGAGGUGGUCGGCCAGGUUCUCCAGCGGGCCCUUGCCGGUCACGAUGGCCUGAACGAAGAAUCCGAACAUGGAGAACAUGGCCAGGCGGCCGUUCUUGAUCUCCUUCACCUUCAGCUCCGCGAAGGCUUCGGGGUCGUCGGCCAGGCCGAGGGGGUCGAAGCUGCCGCCCGGGUAGAGCGGGUCGGUCACCUCGCCGAGCGGCCCGCCGGCGAUGCGGUAGCCCUCCACGGCGCCCAUCAGGAUCACCUGGCACGCCCAGAUGGCCAG